GACGAACGCUGGCGGCGUGCUUAACACAUGCAAGUCGAACGGUGAUGCUCCAGCUUGCUGGAGUGGAUCAGUGGCGAACGGGUGAGUAACACGUGAGCAACCUGCCCCAGACUCUGGAAUAAGCGCUGGAAAUGGCGUCUAAUACUGGAUACGAAACUGGCCCGCAUGGGCAUGGUUUGGAAAGUUUUUCGGUUUGGGAUGGGCUCGCGGCCUAUCAGCUUGUUGGUGAGGUAAUGGCUCACCAAGGCGACGACGGGUAGCCGGCCUGAGAGGGCGACCGGCCACACUGGGACUGAGACACGGCCCAGACUCCUACGGGAGGCAGCAGUGGGGAAUAUUGCACAAUGGGCGAAAGCCUGAUGCAGCGACGCCGCGUGAGGGAUGACGGCCUUCGGGUUGUAAACCUCUUUCAGCAGGGAAGAAGCGAAAGUGACGGUACCUGCAGAAGAAGCACCGGCUAACUACGUG
This 468-nucleotide ribosomal RNA is filed under the name uncultured bacterium. RNAcentral's name for it is "partial 16S ribosomal RNA". It matches the Rfam family "Bacterial small subunit ribosomal RNA", at positions 28 to 507 of the family's 1533-position model. The record is from RNAcentral.